AUGGCCACCGCGACGGCGACGGCAGCCUUCGUGGUCCUGCUCCCACACAGCCGACACUCAGCUAGCCACCCCUCUUCUAUCUCUACCGCCGGCGCCGGCACCCGCACCACUCUUGUCCACCACCGCGGCCACGCUGCACGCCGGCGCCUCCCGCUCCGGCUCCCUCGAGCCCGAGCCCUGCUGCCCCACGGCCUCCCUCUGGUCCCGGCCUCCGACCACUGGGGCAACUGGACGGUCCUCCUGUCCGCGGCCGCGCUGGGCGUCUGGUCCGAGAAAAGCACCCGCGCCGGCAAGGCGCUGAGCGGCGCGCUGGUGAGCGUGCUGCUCGGCCUGGCCGCCACCACGGCCGGGCUCGUCGCCGCCGACGCCCCCGCCUACCGCGUGGUGCUGGAGUACCUGCUCCCGCUGGCCGUGCCGCUGCUCCUCUUCCGCGCCGACCUCCGCCGCGUGGUCCGCUCCGCCGGCGCCCUCCUCCUCGCAUUCCUCCUCGGAUCUGUGGCGACGACGGUGGGCACGGUGGUGGCGUUCGCGCUGGUGCCGAUGCGGUCGCUGGGGCCGGACAACUGGAAGAUCGCGGCGGCCCUCAUGGGCCGGCACAUCGGAGGAGCCGUCAACUACGUGGCCGUCGCGGAGGCCCUGCAGGUGACCCCGUCGGUGCUGGCCGCAGGGCUGGCCGCCGACAACGUCAUCUGCGCGCUCUACUUCACCACGCUAUUCGCGCUGGCCGCCAAGAUCCCCGCUGAGGAGACGGCGCACCCCAAAGGGGGAGUCAACGCCAACGGCGAGCCCACUCCGGCUGCCGGCGGCGGCGACAGGCUGCCGGUCCUGGAGAGCGCAACGGCGCUGGCCGUGUCGCUCGCGAUAUGCAGAGCAGGCAGGCACAUGACGGCCCUGCUGGGCGUACAGGGCGGCAGCCUCCCCUGCAUCACGGCAAUCGUGGUGGCGCUGGCGACGCUGUUCCCCUUGCACGUCGGCAAGCUCGCCCCCGCCGGCGAGGCCAUGGCCGUGAUCCUGAUGCAGGUGUUCUUCGCCGUGGUGGGGGCCAGCGGGAGCAUCCGCGACGUCAUCCACACGGCGCCCGGCAUCUUCGCGUUCUCGUUGGUGCAGAUCGCCGUGCACCUGUUGGUGAUCUUGGGCGCUGGGAAGCUGCUGGGGUUGGAGGAGAAGCUGCUGCUCAUCGCGUCCAACGCCAACGUCGGCGGGCCGACCACCGCCUGCGGCAUGGCCACCACCAAGGGCUGGAGCUCCCUGGUCGUCCCCGGGAUCCUCGCCGGCAUAUUCGGCAUUGCAAUCGCCACCUUCCUCGGCAUCGGUUUCGGCAUGUUUGUCCUCAAGCGCAUGUGA
Molecule: ribosomal RNA, 1344 nt
Filed under: Triticum aestivum (bread wheat)
Lineage: Eukaryota; Viridiplantae; Streptophyta; Magnoliopsida; Poales; Poaceae
Description: partial small subunit ribosomal RNA
Source: RNAcentral